RNAcentral lists this non-coding RNA (31 nucleotides) under Rattus norvegicus (Norway rat). Lineage: Eukaryota; Metazoa; Chordata; Mammalia; Rodentia; Muridae. The record is from RNAcentral.
UUCUCUAGCAAAAGACCGAAUUUACUAGGGA